This is a long non-coding RNA of Lolium perenne, 950 nucleotides long. RefSeq lists it as uncharacterized. NCBI's taxonomy places the organism in Eukaryota, Viridiplantae, Streptophyta, Magnoliopsida, Poales, Poaceae. The record is from RefSeq and is a predicted model, not a curated record.
AUUCCCUUAACAUCUGAAAUUCAAUUAAAAAAUAAAAAUCCUAACAAAAUAUAGCUCCAGAUAGCACAUCAAAAACAUAGUUGUAAGGAUAAAUAGUAUAAUGGCAUUGAAAACAUGCAUCUUAAUAUGUAAUACUUGAGAGUGGAUUCGGUGAACAUGGGGAUACGUGAGCACCCCUUGGCAGCCGUUUGAUCCGCUCUGAGAUUCGGUUACAGGCAGGUUGGCGGUUGACUGGUCUUUGUCUUAUGCAGCACUAAUUCUACACUAGGCGUGGGCUGAGUGUUCCUCUCUCCAAUAAUUGCUGCCGCCAAUCAUUAGCAUUGCAUGCUCGGGUGCUUCUUUGGCGGGCUAUUUUGCGCGAUAGCUAAAAAAAGGCGCGUACCAGCGCAUGAAGGAAUCUUUCCAUUCUCUGGCUCUGUAUCGCUCGUGAUCUCUACGGCAGUCACAACAACUACAAGAGCAUCCGUAGACGGCCGUAAGCAAAAAAAGUGUCCCAGUGGCUGGUCUAUAUGGACGUCUAAUUUAGACGACCUCCACAUCCUGGUACCCAUCGUCCAGAUCUGGACGACGGUGCCACGCUCGUCCAUCCCAACUGCUCGGCCGCGAGCUGCCUCCCGCGUCCAUCCAGAAGAGUUGGAGGACCAGGACGAGCGCCACUCCCGCAACUUCGUCGCUGCCCCGCUCGCCAGCUCCAGACGGCGCUGGAGCUGGCGGUGGCGACGAGCUGCUCAGGACUUGGUGUGAAGGGCCGGUACUAAAAUAUUGUUUAAGGCUUUAGGACUUGGUGAUAAGAACGAAUAUGUGAUGUGAGCAUACUGUGCGGUCCGUGAGUGAAGAAUCUUGAACAGUGCUUGUUUUGGCUUGUUUAAUCAUGUGCCAGAGAUACUUUGAGCUGACUGCUAGCUGCUAAAAAAAAUACCAGCUAAGGCCGCACUGUUCAUCUUCUCCUA